AAGAUUUUAGUUUAUAUAUAAAACGUUUAAUUUGCAAUUAAAAAAAAUUUUUAUUAUAAAUCUUU
Molecule: transfer RNA, 65 nt
Filed under: Pyura mirabilis
Lineage: Eukaryota; Metazoa; Chordata; Ascidiacea; Stolidobranchia; Pyuridae
Description: tRNA-Ala
Source: RNAcentral